CCUACGGGUGGCAGCAGUGAGGACUAUUGGUCAAUGGACGAGAGUCUGAACCAGCCAAGUAUCGUGAAGUAUGACUGCCCUCUGGGUUGUAAACUUCUUUUAUAUUGGAAUACAAUGUUCCACGUGUGGGAUUUUGUAUGUACCCUAUGAAUAAGUAUCGGCUACCUCCGUGCCAGCAGCCGCGGUAAUACGGAGGAUCCGAGCGUUAUCCGGAUUUAUUGUGUUUAAAGGGAGCGUAGGUGGAUUGUUACGUCAGUUGUGAAAGUUUGCGGCUCAACAGUAAAAUUGCAGUUGAAACUGGCAGUCUUGAGUACAGUAGAGGUGGGCGGAAUUCGUGGUGUAGCGGUGAAAUGCUUAGAUAUCACGAAGAACUCCGAGUGCGAAGGCAGUUCACUGGACUGCAACUGACACUGAGGCUCGAAAGUGUGGGUAUCAAACAGGAUUAGAUACCCCAGUAGUC
Molecule: ribosomal RNA, 460 nt
Filed under: uncultured bacterium
Lineage: Bacteria
Description: partial 16S ribosomal RNA
Rfam family: Bacterial small subunit ribosomal RNA
Source: RNAcentral